RNAcentral lists this unclassified non-coding RNA (200 nucleotides) under soil metagenome. Its description in RNAcentral is "partial contains internal transcribed spacer 2 and large subunit ribosomal RNA". The record is from RNAcentral.
GUUCGAGCGUCAUUAUAACCCCUCAAGCUCAGCUUGGUGUUGGGGCCUGCCGCACCCGGCAGCCCUUAAAAUCAGUGGCGGUGCAUCUGGCUCUAAGCGUAGUAAUUCUUCUCGCUAUGGAGUCCCGGUGGAUGCUGGCCAUUAACCCCCAAUUUUCUAUGGUUGACCUCGGAUCAGGUAGGGAUACCCGCUGAACUUAA